GCGGCGGCUAUACAUGCAAGUCGAGCGGACAGAUGGGAGCUUGCUCCCUGAUGUUAGCGGCGGACGGGUGAGUAACACGUGGGUAACCUGCCUGUAAGACUGGGAUAACUCCGGGAAACCGGGGCUAAUACCGGAUGGUUGUUUGAACCGCAUGGUUCAAACAUAAAAGGUGGCUUCGGCUACCACUUACAGAUGGACCCGCGGCGCAUUAGCUAGUUGGUGAGGUAACGGCUCACCAAGGCAACGAUGCGUAGCCGACCUGAGAGGGUGAUCGGCCACACUGGGACUGAGACACGGCCCAGACUCCUACGGGAGGCAGCAGUAGGGAAUCUUCCGCAAUGGACGAAAGUCUGACGGAGCAACGCCGCGUGAGUGAUGAAGGUUUUCGGAUCGUAAAGCUCUGUUGUUAGGGAAGAACAAGUACCGUUCGAAUAGGGCGGUACCUUGACGGUACCUAACCAGAAAGCCACGGCUAACUACGUGCCAGCAGCCGCGGUAAUACGUAGGUGGCAAGCGUUGUCCGGAAUUAUUGGGCGUAAAGGGCUCGCAGGCGGUUUCUUAAGUCUGAUGUGAAAGCCCCCGGCUCAACCGGGGAGGGUCAUUGGAAACUGGGGAACUUGAGUGCAGAAGAGGAGAGUGGAAUUCCACGUGUAGCGGUGAAAUGCGUAGAGAUGUGGAGGAACACCAGUGGCGAAGGCGACUCUCUGGUCUGUAACUGACGCUGAGGAGC
This 730-nucleotide ribosomal RNA is filed under the name Bacillus subtilis. RNAcentral describes it as "bacterial SSU rRNA". It matches the Rfam family "Bacterial small subunit ribosomal RNA", at positions 39 to 754 of the family's 1533-position model. Lineage: Bacteria; Bacillati; Bacillota; Bacilli; Caryophanales; Bacillaceae. The record is from RNAcentral.